UUCACCUGACAUCACCAACCCAUCACCAGUAUUGAAUAAAUUCAUAACCUAUGAAAAUUAUUAUGCUAGAACUAGUAACAAGAAAAUGAAUUUCUCCAAAGUGUAAGCAUAAACCAAAAUGGACACCACACUGGUAAUUAACGACUAUGAACCCAUUAUAGUAACAUAACUAGAAAAUCCUAUAUCUAACCCCGUUAACCUUACACAAGAACUCUCCUGGAAAGAUUAAAAGGAAGAGAAGGAACUCGGCAAAUCUUAACCCCGCCUGUUUACCAAAAACAUCGCCUCUUGGUCAGAUAUAAGAGGUCUAGCCUGCCCAGUGUUUUAGUUUUAAUCAACGGCCGCGUGAUUUAAACGCGCGAAGGUAGCAUAAUAAUUUGUUCUUUAAAUGAGGACUUGUAUCAAUGGCAUCACGAGGGUUAUACUGUCUCCUCUCCCCAAUCAGUGAAACUAAUCUCCUUGUGAAAAAGCAAGGAUAAGAUCAUAAGACGAGAAGACCCCAUGGAGCUUAAAACACGGCAACAACCCUAAUAUCAUAACCAAUUUAAUUUUAAGCCCUGUAUGCUAGUUUUAGGUUGGGGUGACCACGGAGUAAAGCAAAACCUCCACAACGAAAAGGGGUUAUACCCUUAUCUAAGAGAUACUUCUCUAAGAAUUAUUAAAAAUAACGUCCAAUGAUCCGACUAUCGACCAAUGAACCAAGUUACCCUGGGGAUAACAGCGCAAUCCACCCUGAGAGCCCCUAUCGACGAGUGGGCUUACGACCUCGAUGUUGGAUCAGGAUAUCCCAGUGGUGCAGCCGCUACUAAAGG
Molecule: ribosomal RNA, 812 nt
Filed under: Occidozyga cf. laevis PNM RMB 2927
Lineage: Eukaryota; Metazoa; Chordata; Amphibia; Anura; Dicroglossidae
Description: partial large subunit ribosomal RNA
Rfam family: Bacterial large subunit ribosomal RNA
Source: RNAcentral